This 1159-nucleotide small RNA is filed under the name Pan troglodytes (chimpanzee). RNAcentral describes it as "processed transcript". Lineage: Eukaryota; Metazoa; Chordata; Mammalia; Primates; Hominidae. The record is from RNAcentral.
AUUUUACAGAGGCAGACAUUGCACAUAGGUAUGACUGCAAAAAUGGGUGGCUAACUCUGGGAAGAUACUUGUGUUAAACUUUAUAUGACAUUUAAUAACCCUUCAUCAUAAGGCAAUGUUUUUUACAAAAAGAUUGAAAAAAUCAUGUAAGUCAUUUACUCUGCAAAAAUGGCACAUUAGGUGGGGCUCCAAAAUCCAUAAUGAAACAAUGUGUUUUGCAACUAAGAAACAUUCAUUAUGAUGUAUGGAAAACACUGUCUGUCUACUUGUCCUUUACGAAAAAAUGUAAAACUCUGAGGAUCAUAAAAUUUAACUACUAAAAAUAAUCUUCGUGUUUAAGUGAUACUUAUUUAAGACUUUACACUGUUCUGUUUAACCAUGGUCUCCUGUCUGAUUUUAGCCAUAAUUGCAAAGUAUUUCUAACUACAACAAUUUAAUUUUAGACACACCCGUGAGGAAGUUGCAAGCCAACAAAAAAGUUCAAGGAUCUAGAAGACGAUUAAGGGAAGGUCGUUCUCAGUGAAAAUCCAAAAACCAGACAAAAAUGUUUAUACAACCCUAAGUCAAUAACCUGACCUUAGAAAAUUGUGAGAGCCAAGUUGACUUCAGGAACUGAAACAUCAGCACAAAGAAGCAAUCAUCAAAUAAUUCUGAACACAAAUUUAAUAUUUUUUUUUCUGAAUGAGACACAUGAGGGAAAUUGUGGAGUUAGCCUCCUGUGGUAAAGGAAUUGAAGAAAAUAUAACACCUUACACACUUUUUCAUCUUGACAUUAAAAGUUCUGGCUAACUUUGGAAUCCAUUAGAGAAAAAUCCUUGUCACCAGAUUCAUUACAAUUCAAAUCGAAGAGUUGUGAACUGUUAUCCCAUUGAAAAGACCGAGUCUUGUAUGUAUGUUAUGGAUACAUAAAAUGCAUGCAAGCCAUUAUCUCUCCAUGGGAAGCUAAGUUAUAAAAAUAGGUGCUUGGUGUACAAAACUUUUUACAUCAAAAGGCUUUGCACAUUUCUAUAUGAGUGGGUUUACUGGUAAAUUAUGUUAUUUUUUACAACUAAUUUUGUACUCUCAGAAUGUUUGUCAUAUGCUUCUUGCAAUGCAUAUUUUUUUAUCUCAAACGUUUCAAUAAAACCAUUUUUCAGAUAUAAAGAGAAUUACUUCAAAU